CCUACGGGUGGCAGCAGUAGGGAAUCUUCCACAAUGGACGAAAGUCUGAUGGAGCAACGCCGCGUGAGUGAAGAAGGGUUUCGGCUCGUAAAGCUCUGUUGGUAGUGAAGAAAGAUAGAGGUAGUAACUGGCCUUUAUUUGACGGUAAUUACUUAGAAAGUCACGGCUAACUACGUGCCAGCAGCCGCGGUAAUACGUAGGUGGCAAGCGUUUUCCGGAUUUAUUGGGCGUAAAGCGAGUGCAGGCGGUUCAAUAAGUCUGAUGUGAAAGCCUUCGGCUCAACCGGAGAAUUGCAUCAGAAACUGUUGAACUGGAGUGCAGAAGAGGAGAGUGGAACUCCAUGUGUAGCGGUGGAAUCCGUAGAUAUCUGGAGGAACAUCAGUGGCGAAGGCGACUAUCUGGCACAUAACUGACGCUGAGGAGCGAAAGCGUGGGUAGCAAACAGGAUUAGAUACCCUAGUAGUC
RNAcentral lists this ribosomal RNA (465 nucleotides) under uncultured bacterium. Its description in RNAcentral is "partial 16S ribosomal RNA". It matches the Rfam family "Bacterial small subunit ribosomal RNA", at positions 338 to 795 of the family's 1533-position model. The record is from RNAcentral.